This 786-nucleotide ribosomal RNA is filed under the name uncultured archaeon. Its description in RNAcentral is "partial 16S ribosomal RNA". It matches the Rfam family "Archaeal small subunit ribosomal RNA", at positions 128 to 860 of the family's 1478-position model. The record is from RNAcentral.
AAUCUCGGGAAACUGAGGAUAAUACCCCAUAGGUCAAGGAUGCUGGAAUGCACUUUGGCUCAAAGUUACGGCGCUUCAGGAUGGGUCUGCGGCCUAUCAGGUUGUAGUGAGUGUAAAGGACUCACUAGCCGACGACGGGUACGGGCCAUGGGAGUGGUAGCCCGGAGAUGGAUUCUGAGACACGAAUCCAGGCCCUACGGGGCGCAGCAGGCGCGAAAACUUCGCAAUGCGCGCAAGCCCGACGAGGGGGAUUCCAAGUGCAUGACCUUAGUUGCAUGCUUGUUUGCUUAGUCUAAAAAGCUAGUAGAAUAAAGGGCUUGGGUAAGAACUGGGUGGCCAGCCGGCCGGGGGUAUAUACCACGCGGCCCGAGGUGGGUGUUCGUUUUUUAUUGGGGCUUUAAAGCGGUCCGGUGGCCCGGCCCGAUAAAUCCCUCGGGGUAAUUCCGUUUGGGCCUCAACCCAAACAAUUUCUGGGGAAGACUGCGGGCCUUGGACACCGGGAAAAGGUCGGGAGGUCUUCCAGGGGUAGGGGGUAAAUUUCUUUGUAACCCUUGGGGGAACCAACGGGUGGCAAAAGGCGUCCCGAACAAAAAACGGGUCCAGACGGUAAAGGGACAAAGCCCUUGGGGCCGCGAACGGGAAUUAGAUACCCCCGUUAAGUCCAGGGGUGAAAAACCCUGUCCCGCUUUGGUGUUGGGGGGUCCUCCGUGGCCCCCCAGUGCCGAAAAGAAGUUGUUAAGGCGCACCGGCCUGGGGGGAGUACGGGUCGCUAGACUGAAACUUAAA